GGAGUGUCGAUCCCACCGAGACGUACAGCAGCAUUCUUGGGAGUAAGGAUCGACUGUGCCUGCACAUGGAAGAGAGGAUAUGCGGUUUGAUGCAGCCCUCUAUUCCCAGUCCUUUGAAGAGGAGUCUGCCAACCCAGGGACGGUCAGGGUUAGGCUGUUGUGGAUACCCAGAUGAAUUGUGGACUGCGGCCUGCCAGAAGUGCAAAGAGUUCAGG
Molecule: long non-coding RNA, 215 nt
Organism: Saccostrea cuccullata (small rock oyster)
Lineage: Eukaryota; Metazoa; Mollusca; Bivalvia; Ostreida; Ostreidae
Exons: 3
Source: RefSeq, a predicted model, not a curated record